This 468-nucleotide ribosomal RNA is filed under the name uncultured bacterium. Its description in RNAcentral is "partial 16S ribosomal RNA". The stretch from base 64 to 468 matches the Rfam family "Bacterial small subunit ribosomal RNA", at positions 39 to 507 of the family's 1533-position model. The record is from RNAcentral.
GGGGGGGGGGGGGGGGGGGGGGGGGGGGGGGGGGGGGGGGGGGGGGGCGGGGGGGGGGGGGGGGGGGCGGGGGGCGAGCGGGUGAGGAGCACGGGAGGAGCCGGCCCUGGCCGCUGGGGUAGCGUCAGGGGACGGGGGCGAAUACCGGAUGGGAGCUCCGGCGGCUUGGUGGGGGCUGGAGAGGUUCGGCGGUUGUGGCUGGACUCGCGGCGCUUCAGCGUGUUGCUGGGGUAGUGGCUUACCAAGGCUUUGACGGGUAGCCGGCCUGAGAGGGUGACCGGGCACGUUGGGACUGAGAUACGGCCCAGACUCCUACGGGAGGGAGCAGUGGGGAAUAUUGCACAAUGGGCGGAAGCCUGAUGCAGCAACGCCGCGUGCGGGAUGAAGGCCUUCGGGUUGUAAACCGCUUUCGCCUGUGACGAGGCGUGGGUGACGGUAGUGGGUAAAGAAGCGCCGGCUAACUACGUG